RNAcentral lists this small RNA (2961 nucleotides) under Pan troglodytes (chimpanzee). RNAcentral's name for it is "retained intron". The record is from RNAcentral. Lineage: Eukaryota; Metazoa; Chordata; Mammalia; Primates; Hominidae.
AGGUGGUAGACUCGGAAAAGUGAAGGGUCCAACAUUCCGAAUAUCAGGAGUACAGGUGAAUGCCAAACUAGUCAUCUCCCAUGAAGAAGAAUUAAUACCUUUGCACAAAUCCAUUCCUUCUGAUCCAGAAGAAAGAAAGCAGUGAGUGAUUUAUUUUCUCCAUUGUAAGAUUUUUGUUAUUCAAUAAUUGCAAAAUCAAUGUGCUGAAUUUUUAUGGUGUUAUUGGCUAGUUUUGAAAAAAAAAAAAAAGGAAGAAAUAAAGCAUAUUAUUUUGAAGUUCUAAUGACUCACGUUUUUCAAAAUUAAUUUUUCAGUUAAGGCACUUACAAACUUAUCAUUAGUUAUUAACUUUGAUGCCAGGUAUACUAUCCCAUGCCACACAAAGGCAGCUCAUUUUGAUAUAGACUGGGGCAAAGAAGAUGAUUCCAAUUUGUUAAUUGGCAUCUAUGAAUAUGGAUAUGGAAGCUGGGAAAUGAUUAAAAUGGAUCCUGACCUCAGUCUAACACACAAGAUUCUUCCAGAUGAUCCCGAUAAAAAACCACAAGCAAAACAGUUGCAGACCCGUGCAGACUACCUCAUCAAAUUACUUAGUAGAGAUCUUGCAAAAAAAGAAGCUCUUUCUGGUGUGGGAAGUUCAAAGAGGAGAAAAGCAAGAGCUAAGAAGAAUAAAGCAAUGAAGUCUAUAAAAGUGAAAGAGGAAAUAAAGAGUGAUUCUUCUCCUCUGCCUUCAGAGAAGUCUGAUGAAGAUGAUGAUAAAUUGAGUGAAUCCAAGUCUGAUGGUAGGGAAAGAUCCAAGAAAUCUUCAGUGUCAGAUGCUCCAGUUCAUAUCACGGCAAGUGGUGAACCAGUUCCCAUUUCUGAAGAAUCUGAAGAGCUGGAUCAGAAGACAUUCAGCAUUUGUAAAGAAAGAAUGAGGCCUGUUAAAGCAGCUUUGAAACAACUUGAUAGGCCUGAGAAAGGCCUUUCAGAAAGAGAACAACUAGAACAUACUAGACAAUGUUUAAUAAAAAUUGGAGACCAUAUCACAGAAUGUCUAAAAGAGUAUACAAAUCCUGAACAAAUUAAGCAAUGGAGAAAAAACCUGUGGAUUUUUGUAUCUAAGUUUACUGAAUUUGAUGCAAGAAAAUUACAUAAAUUAUAUAAGCACGCUAUUAAAAAACGGCAGGAGUCUCAGCAAAACAAUGAUCAAAACAGCAACUUGAAUCCUCACGUGAUUAGAAAUCCAGAUGUGGAAAGAUUAAAAGAGAAUACAAAUCACGAUGAUAGCAGCAGGGACAGUUAUUCCUCUGAUAGACACUUAACUCAGUACCAUGAUCAUCAUAAAGACCGACAUCAGGGAGAUUCUUACAAAAAAAGUGAUUCCAGGAAAAGACCCUAUUCUUCUUUUAGUAAUGGUAAAGACCAUCGUGAUUGGGAUCACUACAAGCAAGACAGCAGAUAUUACAGUGACAGAGAGAAACACAGAAAACUGGAUGAUCACAGGAGUAGAGAUCACAGGUCAAAUUUGGAAGGAAGUUUAAAAGAUAGAUCUCAUUCUGAUCAUCGUUCUCACUCAGAUCAUCGGUUACAUUCAGACCACCGGUCAAGUUCUGAAUAUAUGCACCAUAAAUCUUCCAGGGAUUAUAGGUAUCACUCAGACUGGCAAAUGGACCACAGAGCUUCCAGCAGUGGCCCUAGGUCACCACUAGAUCAGAGAUCUCCUUAUGGCUCCAGAUCUCCAUUUGAACAUUCAGUUGAACACAAAAAUACACCGGAGCAUACCUGGAGUAGUCGGAAAACAUAACAAAAACUGAUACUUCGUCUUUCUGGACUUUUCUUUUAGCCAUAUAUCAUAAACCAACACAGUAAUUGCCUUACAUGACUUGAAAGAUAUAAACAGAUCUUCUAUCAGUAGCAGUAUUGUUACUUCUUUCCAGGAUGCAAGGUCUAUUAUCCCAACAGAAGAGAAAAUAUUUUUAUAUUUAAGGAUUAUGCUGCACUGUACUACAGAAUUGUAGUACGUUUUUUUGUUUUCUUUUUUAAAGAAAUGGAAAAUGUUUACUAUUACAGGGACCUCAACACUGCCCUCCCAUACAGGCUGGAUAAAACUGUUUUUAAGUCAGUGAUUUUAGACUGACCUCCAUUUAAAUUAUGUUUAUAUAUGAACUUUACUCUGACCUGUGAUCACGUUUCAGGAAGGAAUGAAAGAGAGUUCUUUCUUAAUAAAGAAAAACACUCAAGGACUUUGUUCAUUUCCAAAGCUACUUGUUUACAUUGUACACUGCGACCACCUUGCCGCUUUUCAUCACAAGCUUGAAUAUUUAAAUUCUGUACUUAUAUCUGUAAAAUAGCCAGGAAUUUCCUGUUUGUGAUCUAUUAUGCCUUUUUACAAAAAAAAAUGGCUGUAAAUUAUUGUAAAUAUUAAAGGAACUUUCCUUACUUCCUUCCCUUUCUCAGGCUUUUUUUGACUGUUCCUUUCCCUACCAACUCAGGCCUUCUUAUUAAAAAAAAAAAAAAUCAGUGUAAUAACACUUUUUAAUGAUUUGUCUUGAUGGAAUUAUUGUUUAGAAUGUAAAAAUGGGGAAAGGGGCCACUUAAUUCCAUUAGUCCUCUUUUUAUACUGAAUAUUUUAUUAGAUACAUGUUAUUCCCUUUUUUUUCCUUUUUUAGUCAAUAUUGUGUUUGUAGUUUUAAAAAAUGGCGAGAUAUGUAAAAUCUAAACUGCAUGCUCUGGAAACAUUUUUUUCAGAUGCAUCUGGUUUUAAAGGGUAGGUGUAUAAACACUUUUCAGAAUCCAAAAUGGCCAAAAGUUAUUGUAAAUCCGUUUGUUUUCCCGUUUCAUGUGGGCAAUAAUGUCAAAUGUGCUAUGCAGCCAGGUUAACAUUUUAGAUAAACUUGAUUGACUUUUAAUAUAAACUGUUACAAUGCACACUGAUUGUAUAUAAAAACGUUAUAUAUGACAAAUUAAAUUUAAGAAAAAGGA